AACGCUAGCUACAGGCUUAACACAUGCAAGUCGAGGGGCAGCGGGGAGCUAGCUUGCUAGCUCUGCCGGCGACCGGCGGAUGGGUGAGUAACACGUAUCCAACCUGGCUCAUACUCAGGGAUAGCCUUUCGAAAGAAAGAUUAAUACUUGAUGUUACAGGAGUUUCGCAUGAUUCUUCUGUCAAAGAUUCAUCGGUAUGAGAUGGGGAUGCGUUCCAUUAGGCAGUUGGCGGGGUAACGGCCCACCAAACCGACGAUGGAUAGGGGUUCUGAGAGGAAGGUCCCCCACAUUGGAACUGAGACACGGUCCAAACUCCUACGGGAGGCAGCAGUGAGGAAUAUUGGUCAAUGGGCGAGAGCCUGAACCAGCCAAGUAGCGUGAAGGAUGACGGCCCUAUGGGUUGUAAACUUCUUUUAUGCCGGAGUAAAAAGGCCCACGUGUGGGUCCUUGCAAGUACGGCAGGAAUAAGCAUCGGCUAACUCCGUGCCAGCAGCCGCGGUAAUACGGAGGAUGCGAGCGUUAUCCGGAUUUAUUGGGUUUAAAGGGAGCGUAGGCGGGUUGUUAAGUCAGCUGUGAAAUCCUGAUGCUCAACAUCAGCACUGCAGUUGAUACUGGCGACCUUGAGUGCGGUAGAGGCGGGCGGAAUUCAUGGUGUAGCGGUGAAAUGCUUAGAUAUCACGAAGAACUCCGAUUG
RNAcentral lists this ribosomal RNA (694 nucleotides) under uncultured bacterium. RNAcentral describes it as "bacterial SSU rRNA". It matches the Rfam family "Bacterial small subunit ribosomal RNA", at positions 32 to 715 of the family's 1533-position model. The record is from RNAcentral.